This 334-nucleotide ribosomal RNA is filed under the name uncultured Pseudomonas sp. RNAcentral describes it as "bacterial SSU rRNA". It matches the Rfam family "Bacterial small subunit ribosomal RNA", at positions 1049 to 1382 of the family's 1533-position model. Lineage: Bacteria; Pseudomonadati; Pseudomonadota; Gammaproteobacteria; Pseudomonadales; Pseudomonadaceae. The record is from RNAcentral.
CUGUCGUCAGCUCGUGUCGUGAGAUGUGGGUUAAGUCCCGUAACGAGCGCAACCCUUGUCCUUAGUUACCAGCACGUUAUGGUGGGCACUCUAAGGAGACUGCCGGUGACAAACCGGAGGAAGGUGGGGAUGACGUCAAGUCAUCAUGGCCCUUACGGCCUGGGCUACACACGUGCUACAAUGGUCGGUACAAAGGGUUGCCAAGCCGCGAGGUGGAGCUAAUCCCAUAAAACCGAUCGUAGUCCGGAUCGCAGUCUGCCAACUCGACUGCGUGAAGUCGGAAUCGCUAGUAAUCGUGAAUCAGAAUGUCACGGUGAAUACGUUCCCGGGCCUU